AGAGUUUGAUCCUGGCUCAGGACGAACGCUGGCGGCGCGCCUAACACAUGCAAGUCGAACGAGCGAGAGAGAGCUUGCUUUCUCGAGCGAGUGGCGAACGGGUGAGUAACGCGUGAGGAACCUGCCUCAAAGAGGGGGACAACAGUUGGAAACGACUGCUAAUACCGCAUAAGCCCACGGCUCGGCAUCGAGCAGAGGGAAAAGGAGCAAUCCGCUUUGAGAUGGCCUCGCGUCCGAUUAGCUAGUUGGUGAGGUAACGGCCCACCAAGGCGACGAUCGGUAGCCGGACUGAGAGGUUGAACGGCCACAUUGGGACUGAGACACGGCCCAGACUCCUACGGGAGGCAGCAGUGGGGAAUAUUGCACAAUGGGGGAAACCCUGAUGCAGCGACGCCGCGUGGAGGAAGAAGGUCUUCGGAUUGUAAACUCCUGUUGUUGAGGAAGAUAAUGACGGUACUCAACAAGGAAGUGACGGCUAACUACGUGCCAGCAGCCGCGGUAAAACGUAGGUCACAAGCGUUGUCCGGAAUUACUGGGUGUAAAGGGAGCGCAGGCGGGAGAACAAGUUGGAAGUGAAAUCCAUGGGCUCAACCCAUGAACUGCUUUCAAAACUGUUUUUCUUGAGUAGUGCAGAGGUAGGCGGAAUUCCCGGUGUAGCGGUGGAAUGCGUAGAUAUCGGGAGGAACACCAGUGGCGAAGGCGGCCUACUGGGCACCAACUGACGCUGAGGCUCGAAAGUGUGGGUAGCAAACAGGAUUAGAUACCCUGGUAGUCCACACCGUAAACGAUGAUUACUAGGUGUUGGAGGAUUGACCCCUUCAGUGCCGCAGUUAACACAAUAAGUAAUCCACCUGGGGAGUACGACCGCAAGGUUGAAACUCAAAGGAAUUGACGGGGGCCCGCACAAGCAGUGGAGUAUGUGGUUUAAUUCGACGCAACGCGAAGAACCUUACCAAGUCUUGACAUCCCUUGACGAUGCCGGAAACAGUAUUUCUCUUCGGAGCAAGGAGACAGGUGGUGCAUGGUUGUCGUCAGCCCGUGUCGUGAGAUGUUGGGUUAAGUCCCGCAACGAGCGCAACCCUUAUCUUUAGUAGCCAGCGGUUCGGCCGGGCACUCUAGAGAGACUGCCAGGGAUAACCUGGAGGAAGGCGGGGAUGACGUCAAAUCAUCAUGCCCCUUAUGACUUGGGCUACACACGUGCUACAAUGGCGUAAACAAAGGGAAGCAAAGCUGUGAAGCCGAGCAAAUCUCAAAAAUAACGUCUCAGUUCGGACUGUAGUCUGCAACCCGACUACACGAAGCUGGAAUCGCUAGUAAUCGCAGAUCAGAAUGCUGCGGUGAAUACGUUCCCGGGUCUUGCACACACCGCCCGUCAA
This 1376-nucleotide ribosomal RNA is filed under the name uncultured bacterium. RNAcentral describes it as "bacterial SSU rRNA". It matches the Rfam family "Bacterial small subunit ribosomal RNA". The record is from RNAcentral.